Molecule: long non-coding RNA, 275 nt
Filed under: Physcomitrium patens
Lineage: Eukaryota; Viridiplantae; Streptophyta; Bryopsida; Funariales; Funariaceae
Description: long non-coding RNA (PPAT_LNC000623)
Source: RNAcentral
UGUUUGGAAAGGCAUUUCUUAGUGCUUAAUAUUUAUUUGAGAUUGAAAGUUUUUGUGUAAAAGUAUCUUAGAGUUGAAAUUGUAGUGGAGCAAAAUUGAAUGCUAUUGAAGCAAAAUUGAAUUUGUGGAAAUUUUUGGAGUGGAGAGAGGUUGCUACCUCAAGUGGAAUACAAAUGAGGUUAGUGAUUUCUAUCUCUUCAAUCGUUUACAAUGUUGAAUUUAUGUUAUACUUUUAAAAUUGGUGUUUAAUAUUUUUUUAACUAUUUUAAAUUAUA